RNAcentral lists this ribosomal RNA (460 nucleotides) under uncultured bacterium. RNAcentral's name for it is "partial 16S ribosomal RNA". It matches the Rfam family "Bacterial small subunit ribosomal RNA", at positions 338 to 795 of the family's 1533-position model. The record is from RNAcentral.
CCUACGGGAGGCAGCAGUGAGGAAUAUUGGUCAAUGGACGAGAGUCUGAACCAGCCAAGUAGCGUGAAGGAUGACUGCCCUAUGGGUUGUAAACUUCUUUUAUAUGGGAAUAAAAUGUUCCACGUGUGGGAUUUUGUAUGUACCAUAUGAAUAAGGAUCGGCUAACUCCGUGCCAGCAGCCGCGGUAAUACGGAGGAUCCGAGCGUUAUCCGGAUUUAUUGGGUUUAAAGGGAGCGUGGGUGGAUUGUUAAGUCAGUUGUGAAAGUUUGCGGCUCAACCGUAAAAUUGCAGUUGAAACUGGCAGUCUUGAGUACAGUAGAGGUGGGCGGAAUUCGUGGUGUAGCGGUGAAAUGCUUAGAUAUCACGAAGAACUCCGAUUGCGAAGGCAGUUCACUGGACUGCAACUGACACUGAGGCUCGAAAGUGUGGGUAUCAAACAGGAUUAGAUACCCCUGUAGUC